RNAcentral lists this ribosomal RNA (556 nucleotides) under Trichoderma harzianum. RNAcentral's name for it is "eukaryotic LSU rRNA". The stretch from base 182 to 335 matches the Rfam family "5.8S ribosomal RNA". Lineage: Eukaryota; Fungi; Ascomycota; Sordariomycetes; Hypocreales; Hypocreaceae. The record is from RNAcentral.
CCCAAUGUGAACGUUACCAAACUGUUGCCUCGGCGGGAUCUCUGCCCCGGGUGCGUCGCAGCCCCGGACCAAGGCGCCCGCCGGAGGACCAACCAAAACUCUUAUUGUAUACCCCCUCGCGGGUUUUUUUAUAAUCUGAGCCUUCUCGGCGCCUCUCGUAGGCGUUUCGAAAAUGAAUCAAAACUUUCAACAACGGAUCUCUUGGUUCUGGCAUCGAUGAAGAACGCAGCGAAAUGCGAUAAGUAAUGUGAAUUGCAGAAUUCAGUGAAUCAUCGAAUCUUUGAACGCACAUUGCGCCCGCCAGUAUUCUGGCGGGCAUGCCUGUCCGAGCGUCAUUUCAACCCUCGAACCCCUCCGGGGGGUCGGCGUUGGGGAUCGGCCCUGCCUUGGCGGUGGCCGUCUCCGAAAUACAGUGGCGGUCUCGCCGCAGCCUCUCCUGCGCAGUAGUUUGCACACUCGCAUCGGGAGCGCGGCGCGUCCACAGCCGUUAAACACCCAACUUCUGAAAUGUUGACCUCGGAUCAGGUAGGAAUACCCGCUGAACUUAAGCAUAUCA